CACGUAGGGCGCAAGCGUUGUCCGGAAUUAUUGGGCGUAAAGAGCUCGUAGGCGGUCUGUUGCGUCCGCUGUGAAAACUCGGGGCUUAACCCCGAGCCUGCAGUGGAUACGGGCAGACUAGAGGUAGGUAGGGGAGAAUGGAAUUCCCGGUGUAGCGGUGAAAUGCGCAGAGAUCGGGAGGAACACCCGUAGCGAAGGCGGCGCUCUGGGCCGGUACUGACGCUGAGGAGCGAAAGCGUGGGGAGCAAACAGG
RNAcentral lists this ribosomal RNA (253 nucleotides) under uncultured bacterium. RNAcentral's name for it is "partial 16S ribosomal RNA". It matches the Rfam family "Bacterial small subunit ribosomal RNA", at positions 524 to 776 of the family's 1533-position model. The record is from RNAcentral.